Molecule: long non-coding RNA, 659 nt
Organism: Pan paniscus (pygmy chimpanzee)
Lineage: Eukaryota; Metazoa; Chordata; Mammalia; Primates; Hominidae
Source: Ensembl
CUUUAUUGCAGUUGACUGAAAUCACAAGAAGCAAAACUGUGGAUGAGAGCAAGUACAUUAAUAUAUUUUGUCAGUAUCAUAUGAGUCUCAUGAUUUUCCCACAGAGUGUCUUCCUUUUUCUUGGUCACCUUCAAACAAAGUUGCUCUUCCGAGCACUGAAGCAAAGCAUGUCCUGGCUCAAAAGGCCCUCAUUUAAAACCACAGCUACAGUCUGGUCUCAUGAAGAUGCUCGGCUGCUUGAGCGACCUUUCUUUAUAUUUCAUAAGUUCAUCUUUGCCUCAAAGACUGGUUUCUCAUUGGUGAAAUUAAAGCUUGAAGUGGCUCUUCUCCAAAGAUCCUUUUACAAUUUUACUUGUGGGCAAAUAUUCUCAAACAAAUGUCUUCAGGAAAAAUUGCCGGCUUAAGAGAUUCCUGACACUUCUAAAGCCAUUUCAAAGCAGUAAGUAUCAAUUUCCAAAUCCUUCCAAGAAAAGAAAUUACCCUAUAUGUUGUCCUCCAAUUAACUAACCCUACAUUACAAAGUAAAGAAAAAGUAAGAACCAUCAUAAAAAACAAAAACAAAAAAAACUAGAUAUGUGGAUGUUUAGUAACAUCUCUAACUAGGGAGCUCAGCCAGAAGUUCAAGUAUUUGAUGCUACAAAAAGGGAAAUUAAUAUUAG